This 371-nucleotide long non-coding RNA is filed under the name Mus caroli (Ryukyu mouse). RNAcentral describes it as "lncRNA (MGP_CAROLIEiJ_G0004803.1)". Lineage: Eukaryota; Metazoa; Chordata; Mammalia; Rodentia; Muridae. The record is from RNAcentral.
AGUUGCUGAACGGGAGAAACGGAAGCUCUUAAGCGUUGUUCCAGCCAGCACAUGGAAGCAACUCAGGUGCUCAGGAGGCUGAGAGGAGGAAGCAGCGUGGAGGGGGCUGAGGAUGGAGCUCAGUUGGUGGAAUGCUUGCUUCACAGACACAAAACAACCCAGGGCUGCAGAGAUGUCUUUAAGAACAUUUCUGUUCUUCCCAAGGACCUGAGUUUGGUGCCAGAAUCCACAGCUGGUGGUCCGUAAUAGCCUGUAACUUCAACUUCCUGUAACUCCAGCUCCAGGGGGUCCAAUGCCCUUUUCUGGCCUUCCUGAGCACCUGCAUACACAUCACAGACAGACAGACAUAUAAAUAAAAGUUAAAAAUAAUA